UACGUAGGGGGCAAGCGUUGUCCGGAAUCAUUGGGCGUAAAGAGCGUGUAGGCGGCCAGAUAAGUCCGCUGUGAAAUCUCGAGGCUCAACUUCGAGCUGUCGGUGGAAACUGUCUGGCUAGAGUCCGGAAGAGGAGAAUGGAAUUCCUGGUGUAGCGGUGAAAUGCGCAGAUAUCAGGAAGAACACCCGUGGCGAAGGCGGAUCUCUGGGCCUUACCUGACGCUGAGGCGCGAAAGCUAGGGGAGCGAACAGG
RNAcentral lists this ribosomal RNA (253 nucleotides) under uncultured bacterium. RNAcentral's name for it is "partial 16S ribosomal RNA". It matches the Rfam family "Bacterial small subunit ribosomal RNA", at positions 524 to 776 of the family's 1533-position model. The record is from RNAcentral.